RNAcentral lists this ribosomal RNA (210 nucleotides) under uncultured Lactobacillus sp. RNAcentral describes it as "partial 16S ribosomal RNA". It matches the Rfam family "Bacterial small subunit ribosomal RNA", at positions 152 to 354 of the family's 1533-position model. The record is from RNAcentral. Lineage: Bacteria; Bacillati; Bacillota; Bacilli; Lactobacillales; Lactobacillaceae.
GGAAACAGAUGCUAAUACCGGAUAACAACAGAUGAUGCCUAUCAACUGUUUAAAAGAUGGUUCUGCUAUCACUCUUGGAUGGACCUGCGGUGCAUUAGCUAGUUGGUAGGGUAACGGCCUACCAAGGCGAUGAUGCAUAGCCGAGUUGAGAGACUGAUCGGCCACAUUGGGACUGAGACACGGCCCAAACUCCUACGGGAGGCAGCAGGC